This 438-nucleotide ribosomal RNA is filed under the name uncultured bacterium. RNAcentral's name for it is "bacterial SSU rRNA". It matches the Rfam family "Bacterial small subunit ribosomal RNA", at positions 954 to 1392 of the family's 1533-position model. The record is from RNAcentral.
GCAGAACGCGAAGAACCUUACCAGCCCUUGACAUGGUCGGACGGUCACCAGAGAUGGUUUCCUUCACUUCGGUGACUGACACGCAGGUGCUGCAUGGCUGUCGUCAGCUCGUGUCGUGAGAUGUUGGGUUAAGUCCCGCAACGAGCGCAACCCUCGCCCUUAGUUGCCAUCAUUCAGUUGGGCACUCUAAGGGGACUGCCGGUGAUAAGCCGGAGGAAGGUGGGGAUGACGUCAAGUCUUCAUGGCCCUUACGGGCUGGGCUACACACGUGCUACAAUGGUGGUGACAGAGGGCUGCUAGGCCGCGAGGCCAUGCUAAUCCCGAAAAGCCAUCUCAGUUCGGAUUGCACUCUGCAACUCGGGUGCAUGAAGUCGGAAUCGCUAGUAAUCGCAGAUCAGCACGCUGCGGUGAAUACGUUCCCGGGUCUUGUACACACCG